UGGAAGGUGGCUCAGUGGUAGAGUGCUUGCCUUGCAUGCAUGAGGCCCUGGUUUUGAUUUCUCAGUCUCACAU
Molecule: non-coding RNA, 73 nt
Organism: Dipodomys ordii (Ord's kangaroo rat)
Lineage: Eukaryota; Metazoa; Chordata; Mammalia; Rodentia; Heteromyidae
Source: Rfam